Paramuricea clavata is the source of this 811-nucleotide non-coding RNA. The record is from the annotation of a GenBank genome assembly. NCBI's taxonomy places the organism in Eukaryota, Metazoa, Cnidaria, Anthozoa, Malacalcyonacea, Plexauridae.
AUAAUAUCUGGAAUGAAGCCCAGCUGUUGUUUCAAUUCUGCACCAAGAAAUGAGCAUAACCUCUUCACAAAAAUUUGUUUGUUACAAAAAAGAAGUAAUUUGGCCUUAUCAAUGUGAGCACCUGUUCACCACAGCCCAACGUAAUAAAAUUUGCCUGGCAGUUUUUGUUUCGUUCCCCGCAGGAACGAAACGGUACUGUAUUUGGUUUCGAGCAAUAUCACAGGAAAGUGACGUCAGAGAUCAAAGUUAUCCAAUCCUUUGCCAGUAUUCUUGCUGAAACGUCAAUUACAUUUAGAAUCGUCCAAUGAGAUGACCGCUCCUAGCAUAAGAAGUUUUUUGGAGGCGUGGCGUAUAAUCGGAAAUCUUAGUUAAUUAUAUAUCAACCUAUGAGAACAUGCUAACUUAACCUGAAGUUCAUGCAGGCCCUAAUUUUAAGGGGCGGACCAUUUGACUUUUGAGGGGGGGGGGGAAGAUUUCGAAAAAAAAUUUCCUGCAACCCAAGGAGAAAGAAAAAAAAAAAUCAUGCAGCACACAAUCGAGAAAAAAAAAUAUCAUGCAAAAGAGAGCGCUCAAAAAAAAAUUUUCUACAUGUAACUCUACUGAUGCUCUUCACUUCAGUAUUGUGUCCACAGGCUUGCAAGAUUUUGCAUUUUUGAGCAGGCACAUUUGCUUAAAAGAACACGGGGUGAACAGUGGAUAACAUCACAGGGAUUCUACCGCCUUUGGAGCCUCUGACAUACGAUAGCCAGUGGUGUUCCCUGGCAAAAUUGUUGCCCCCCCCCCUGAGAAAAUCUGUGCUUAAGAUAAGUAU